Molecule: ribosomal RNA, 253 nt
Filed under: uncultured bacterium
Lineage: Bacteria
Description: partial 16S ribosomal RNA
Rfam family: Bacterial small subunit ribosomal RNA
Source: RNAcentral
UACGUAGGGGGCGAGCGUUGUCCGGAGUUACUGGGCGUAAAGCGCACGCAGGCGGUUUCGUACGUCUGGAGUGACAGUUCCCGGCUCAACUGGGAAGGGUCUUUGGAAACGGCGAGACUUGAGGGCUUCAGAGGGACACGGAAUUCCGGGUGGAGUGGUGAAAUGCGUAGAGAUCCGGAGGAACACCAAUGGCGAAGGCAGUGUCCUGGGAAGCAUCUGACGCUCAGGUGCGAAAGCUAGGGGAGCGAACAGG